CUAAGUAGGCACUACACAUACUCGUAAAUACAAAAAUGCAUCAAAGUACGAGUAUAAUAAUUCGAAUAACGCGUCUAUGAGAAAUGCUUGCGAUCACGCAUGCGGGCUCUGUCGUUGGUCUCAUUAAACCUUGAAAUUUUACAAUAAUUUAUCAUCGUAUAAUAUGCAAUACAGACUAUACACACGUAGGCAUCGUUUUAAAUUCGGUUAAUAUAGGAAUUCACACCUUACUAUAAGUACAUCGUGACAGUUGAUUAAAAAAAUACCUAUUUAUUUCAUAAGCAUGAUGAGCAACAGUUGGGUUGUGCACCUGACCUGAAGUGACGUAGAUUCGAAAGCUUUUUUCUAAUUACCCACUUGUUGAUCUUUUUCUUUACUUAAUUUUGGCCGCAUUGUAAGUAUGUAUUUUUUUUUUUUUGGUUAUUUUUUUCCUGGAAUCUAAUCGAGUUAUGAAGGUUGUGUUUCGUUUGCAAUGACGCAUGUAUUAAAAAAUACAAACUAUAUAACUUACAAGCAUACCCCUUCUGUAUGGCGACUAAAAAUUUUAAAAAAUAAUAAUUUUUAACUCUAUUUUUUCUUAAUAAGAGUAGGUAUUUUGCAGGGUUCCAAAACGUCAGAGGAAAUGAUGAACAUUUCGAAUACAUAGGUAGGUAUUGUAUGUUUACUGUUUUAUUUGACUGAGAAUUAUCAUUUCUAAAAGUUAUAGUUUGCUGUCAUAAUCACCGGAUGUUCUGAAAAUUAAUUGCUCCUCGCAGAAUAAUUCUAAUACAUACCUAUGAGGUGAGUAACUAAGUAGAUGAAGAACAAACUCGAUUAUUUGAAUAAUGUAAGUAUACCUAUGUAGUCUUGAAAUAAAGAGUUCAAGGAUUAAAAUUUAUAUUAAUCGAAA
Planococcus citri (citrus mealybug) is the source of this 889-nucleotide long non-coding RNA. RefSeq lists it as uncharacterized. Lineage: Eukaryota; Metazoa; Arthropoda; Insecta; Hemiptera; Pseudococcidae. The transcript is spliced from 2 exons. The record is from RefSeq and is a predicted model, not a curated record.